CUCACCAAGACAUAAAUAUAGUUAGUGAUUCCGCUUAUGUGGUGUAUAGUAUUACUCAUUUAGAUCUUGCACAUGUGAAGCGCAUUACUAAUAAACCCCUAUUAGCUUUGUUUCUUGCAACGCAAGAGCUCCUCUGUGCCUGUCGUCACCCUCUUUACAUCACACAUAUUUGCCGUCAUUCUGGGCUACCUGGUCCUUAUCAGAAGGGAAUGCUUGAGCUGAUGCUCUGGUACGACCACAGAUGUGGUUUGCAAAUUCUUCUGCUUUUUUGCAAGCUCAAGCUGAUCAUGUUGUUUUUUCAUCAGAACGCCCGCAGUCUUAAACAACAGCUUCAUUUGACACUUACUCAAGCUUGCAUGAUUAUUAAAACUUGUCCUAAUUGCCAACAGCAUUCUCUUUCCCCCUUUUCCUUAGGGCUUGGUGCCAACCUACGAGGUCUGGUGCCUAAUGCUAUCUGGCAAACUAAUGUUACUCGGUAUCCACCCUUUGGACGUUUUAAAUUUCUCCAUGUUACCGUGGACACAUAUACAGGCCUAAUACAUGCUAUCUCCCAGACAGGAGAAAAAACUAAAGAUGCAAUCGCUCAUUUGUUUAAAUCUAUUAUAACUCUAAGCCUUCCACACACUAUAAAAACUAAUAAUGGACCUUCCUAUCUUAGUGCUCGAUUUACAUAUGCAUUGCAACUUUGGCACAUGCCACACAAAACUGAUAUUCCUUAUAACUCAACCAGUCAGGCCAUUGUUAAACGAGCUCAUCAAACUCUUAAAGUAUAUCUUAAUUUAAAAAGGCAGGGAGGGGGAGGUUAUGGGGCUCUCUUCUAGAGAACAGGACCAGUCGUUGGAGAACCACCCAACAAUGAUAGUGAUGACUCGGAAGGCAGCUGACAUCACCUGGGGACAGCUAAAGAAAUUGAAUCAACAAGCAUCUAUCCAGCUUGCCGCCGUGGAAGCCCCUGCAACUGCAGACAAUCGGUUUCUUACGUAUCUGGCGGUAAUUGGGGAAACUUCUGAGAAAGUAAGACAGACAUGGAUGUUGGGGUGGCGGGUAAUUCUUGUCCUUUGCCAAGUGGGAUCAGCUCAAGAACAUGUUUAUUGGAGUCAUGUUCUAAAUCCCCCUGUUUUUAAUGUUAUUACAUGGUGGGAUGCUGACCCGCUUUUGUCAUCUAAUGAUACUUCUUGGGCAGGAGGCCGAUGGAUGCGUCUGUCUUACCCCGUAACUGAAAAUCUGGGAUGGAUUCAACUUAACUACUCCUUGAUUUUAUUGUCUAGUAAUCCCCCUCUUUAUUUUUCCACAAUAGCACAUGAUAAGUGUGUUACUCUCAUCCCUCAGGAGUAUCUUUACUAUCAGCCUAAAAGGGAUGCUAAGCUUGCAAACUUGACCUUUAUUUCUACUAUUACCACUAAUCUUACUGAGGUCUCUAAUGAAGCUACACAAGUGCCCGAUCUUCCUAUAUGCCGUCCGAGUAGGUGCCAGUGGUCGCCGUACAGACCAGCCUGCUCCAUGUCAAGGGCCUCUGUUUGAUAAUGGCACCUUACUUGAUUGGGGUCCCCAUGGUAAUCUUAUGUCUGCAAAUCAGACUAUUGGAUUUGGGAGUCCCUCCAGUAGUUCUAUUACCUAGUCAGAGUAUGGGCUUUCAGGACCAAUAUUACAAGUGAGAGAGAAACAAGCUUUAAGCCCUGCUCAUGCCCAAAUUUGGAGAUUAGGAUUUCCUGUUUUUGAACGGGUUCUUUCACAUGGUGAGUAUAUUACUGGCGGUGGCAACCAUACCCUCUCUUUGCAUAAUAAUGUUACUGACACAGUCCUGAUUUGUACCGCUCACCCUUACAUACUUUUGUUUGGGCAAGGUGUUCCUAACGUAGAGCAGAAUCAAUCCUUUUAUAGUGUUAAAGUCUCUUCCAGUAGUUGGUAUGCUACAUGCUUGUCCAUCGAAACGUUACACAGUUGGAUAUAACCUAUGUCAUGAUCUUAAAAUGGCGUGCAGAAUUGUGGCUGCCUGUAAAUUUAACCUGGAGCUGAAAAGGAGAUUCCACCCUGCAGCUACUUAGAAAAGCACUAUCUCAUACUCGGAAAAAAAAAAAAAAAAAAAAAAAAAAAG
Molecule: long non-coding RNA, 2095 nt
Organism: Pongo abelii (Sumatran orangutan)
Lineage: Eukaryota; Metazoa; Chordata; Mammalia; Primates; Hominidae
Source: Ensembl